GACAUGUAGCUCAACGGUAGAGCAAUAGGCUGUUAACCUAUAGGCUGUGAGUUCGAAUCUCACCAUGUCC
Molecule: transfer RNA, 70 nt
Filed under: bovine gut metagenome
Rfam family: tRNA
About the family: Transfer RNA (tRNA) molecules are approximately 80 nucleotides in length. Their secondary structure includes four short double-helical elements and three loops (D, anti-codon, and T loops).
Source: RNAcentral